RNAcentral lists this unclassified non-coding RNA (402 nucleotides) under soil metagenome. Its description in RNAcentral is "partial contains 5.8S ribosomal RNA, internal transcribed spacer 2, and large subunit ribosomal RNA". The stretch from base 1 to 121 matches the Rfam family "5.8S ribosomal RNA", at positions 35 to 154 of the family's 154-position model. The record is from RNAcentral.
GAUGAAGAACGCAGCGAAAUGCGAUAAGUAGUGUGAAUUGCAGAAUUCAGUGAAUCAUCGAAUCUUUGAACGCACCUUGCGCCCUUUGGCUAUUCCGAAGGGCAUGCCUGUUUGAGUAUCAUGAACACCUCAACUCUCAUGGCUUGCCAUGAUGAGCUUGGACUAUGGGGGUCUUGCUGGCCUGUGGUCGGCUCCUCUCAAAUGAAUCAGCUUGCCAGUGUUUGGUGGCAUCACAGGUGUGAUAACUAUCUACGCUUGUGGUUUUCCACCAGGUAACCUUCAGCAAUGGAGGUUCGCUGGGGCUCAUAAAUGUCUCUCCUCAGCGAGGACAGCUCUUUGAACGUUUGAUCUCAAAUCAGGUAGGACUACCCGCUGAACUUAAGCAUAUCAAUAAGCGGAGGA